Trichoplusia ni (cabbage looper) is the source of this 708-nucleotide long non-coding RNA. RefSeq lists it as uncharacterized. The record is from RefSeq and is a predicted model, not a curated record. Lineage: Eukaryota; Metazoa; Arthropoda; Insecta; Lepidoptera; Noctuidae. The transcript has 4 exons.
AACAGGGCAGGUAUAAAUCAUAACUUAUAUCUUCUAACCACGCGGACGAAGUCGCUAGCAACAGCUUAUUGAGGACAAAGAAGAAUGCAAUACGUAAAGUUAAUAAACUAUUUAUUGGUAUCUCUUCUCUACCAGUUCCCAUACUGAUUCUGUAAAUAUUGUUGACAUAGGUUUUUCCAAAAUUUACGGGAACUUGGCUCUCGAUUUAAAGCUCUGAGUACAACACUACUUAUCAGUAUAAGUUAUACGUUCGCAGAGAAUAAAAGACAUAAUAACAACGCGCUAUCUGUUAAGACAGUGUUUAUAAACACAGAAUAUUUAAAUUAUUUGAGUGUGAUAUUUAGUAUUUUGUGUCUUUGAGUGCUUGAGACUUGGAUUGUUAUAUAAGAUAAGUCAAAAUGCGUGCUGAACUGCCCGAAUUCAAAAGAUGCUGUUGCUGUUUCCCACUUCGAUACGGUCUUAUGACAUGGGGAUAUUUGAAACUGAUUUCUUCCUGCUUAUUAUUGAUAACGUUUACAUACGCUCUGUAUUUCACAAUAUGUCGUGUGUUAACUGUCCCUGGCGCUAUCUAUUACUAUGAAGAGAUUACAAUAUAUUGCAUAUUCAUCGCGAUAUUGACGCUAGACGCAACUUUUACUACAGUCUUCGUAGUUGGCGGUCACCAGAAAAGCCCCAAGCUACUGCGCCUGUACUACAUCUACGGGAUAG